RNAcentral lists this ribosomal RNA (398 nucleotides) under uncultured bacterium. RNAcentral's name for it is "partial 16S ribosomal RNA". It matches the Rfam family "Bacterial small subunit ribosomal RNA", at positions 523 to 918 of the family's 1533-position model. The record is from RNAcentral.
AUACGUAGGGUGCGAGCGUUGUCCGGAAUUACUGGGCGUAAAGAGCUCGUAGGUGGUUUGUCGCGUCGUCUGUGAAAUUCCGGGGCUUAACUCCGGGCGUACAGGCGAUACGGGCAUAACUUGAGUACUGUAGGGGAGACUGGAAUUCCUGGUGUAGCGGUGAAAUGCGCAGAUAUCAGGAGGAACACCGGUGGCGAAGGCGGGUCUCUGGGCAGUAACUGACGCUGAGGAGCGAAAGCAUGGGUAGCGAACAGGAUUAGAUACCCUGUUAGUCCAUGCCGUAAACGGUGGGCGCUAGGUGUAGGGGUCUUCCACGACUUCUGUGCCGUAGCUAACGCAUUAAGCGCCCCGCCUGGGGAGUACGGCCGCAAGGCUAAAACUCAAAGGAAUUGACGGGG